Molecule: ribosomal RNA, 252 nt
Filed under: uncultured bacterium
Lineage: Bacteria
Description: partial 16S ribosomal RNA
Rfam family: Bacterial small subunit ribosomal RNA
Source: RNAcentral
UACGUAUGGGGCGAGCGUUGUCCGGAAUUAUUGGGCGUAAAGGGUACGUAGGCGGAUAGGCAAGUUAGAAGUGAAAUCCUAUAGCUCAACUAGAGUAAGCUUUUAAAACUGCUCAACUUGAGGUAUGGAAGGGAAAGUGGAAUUCCUAGUGUAGCGGUGAAAUGCGCAGAUAUUAGGAGGAAUACCGGUGGCGAAGGCGACUUUCUGGACAUUAUCUGACGCUGAGGUACGAAAGCGUGGGUAGCAAACAGG